This 253-nucleotide ribosomal RNA is filed under the name uncultured bacterium. RNAcentral's name for it is "partial 16S ribosomal RNA". It matches the Rfam family "Bacterial small subunit ribosomal RNA", at positions 524 to 776 of the family's 1533-position model. The record is from RNAcentral.
CACGUAGGGUGCGAGCGUUGUCCGGAAUUAUUGGGCGUAAAGAGCUCGUAGGCGGCUUGUCGCGUCGUCCGUGAAAACUUGGGGCUCAACCCCAAGCUUGCGGUCGAUACGGGCAGGCUAGAGUUCGGUAGGGGAGACUGGAAUUCCUGGUGUAGCGGUGAAAUGCGCAGAUAUCAGGAGGAACACCGGUGGCGAAGGCGGGUCUCUGGGCCGAUACUGACGCUGAGGAGCGAAAGCGUGGGGAGCGAACAGG